UGGGCCAAGGUCUCCCACGGCGAGACGCCCCUCCAUGUGGGAUGAUGCAUGCGAGGGGAGCCUGACACCAUCGCUGUCGCCAUCGCCAUGCCAACCCGAGGAAAGGACGAGGAUGAGGGGCAGUGUCACCAGGAAGCUGAGCCGAGGGGCCCGCGCCUGCCUCUGCCGUGGGGUCCCUCCAUGGGACUGUCCUCUGUCCACCUGACCGGACCCCUUUCCCAAAGCCACGCUGUAGCUGUCAGAAGGAGCUUAACACGGCGCGGCUGCAUGACCCCGGCGAUGAGUGAUCACUCUGAUGCGCUCGCGGACACGGACAGCUCGUGGGAACAUCCUGCAGGUCUCUGGACCUCAGAGUGGAUGUGGCUCGGCACCUAGGUUGGCUGCUUCGCCUCCGGGCUCGGUGCUUCCAGACACGCCCCACUUAGACGGCGGGGAAACCGGCCCUCUGGGCAGGCCUGGCUGAGCGGGCCCCUCGCCUCCUCUGAGCCCCACGCGUUGGAGAGAACUCAUGUGAAGAGUGAGACUAAUUCCAGGUGGAGGAGAAAGGAACCGGCUCUCCCACACUCCUGCCGGAUGCCAGGCGCACCACGAGGUCACAUCCCACGGUGAGCCUGUUUCCGAGGAGCAAGGUCCCUGGGAACAGAGGGAAGGGGCUCAGGGUGUCGCCCAUGGCGGGGACGGUGCCCAGGGUGUGGACAGUGCCCAGCCGGGACCUCCCCCCAGCGCCCGCCCCGCUGUGGGCACGGCAGGCCUCACACAGGACACGGCUAAGUCAGCCCCUGUCCCCCUCCCCCGAGGUGGCCAGCAGACAUCUGAUUGGAAGCCGGCUCCCGGGUCGCUUGCCUGCGAGGGCGAAUGUUUGCCGUGGAAGGAAGCGCCGGUGCCCUUGGCGGCCGCGUCUUGUUUGAACAGCACAUCGAUCAUGGGCGCUCACCCUGCUUCCUGUGGGUGUGAGCGUGAGUCAGGCUGGUUCUCACAGGCCCAGCCUCUGCCCCCCUGGGCAGAGCCCUCCCUUGAUCCCCACAGUUGCGGCCUUGCCCAGGGCUCUGGCCACACACUCCGGGCUCGGCUGGGAGCCGCCUUUAACUCCAGGGAUGGCUCUGGCCUGAGCUCAGCCCCCACGGCUACAUCCAUGGCAGGUGGCGAGGAGAACGGCCCCCACCCUGAGCCCGAGGCCGGGCACCCGGGCCGCUGCCCGAGGACUGGCUCGGUGCCUGGACCUGCGCGCAAAUCCCCUGGGGGCGUCUCUGGAAGCAGGACCGUGGAGUGAGGCUGCACCCCCCGUCUGCAGGCCUCCCUGGCUGUUGUUACAUUACUGGGUGACAGUCCUAUGUCUGACACACUCUGUCAUCCAGGACACAUUUCAAAGACACACCAACGGCCUGAAUGGAAGGACGUGACUGUGGAAAGUCUCUGUUUCCUCCCAUUUCACGGUCGGUGACCCGACCAGGAAGUCCGCCGGCCACAGGUCAGCGAGCCCCCUGGUCACCUGGGCGGCCUGCCCGGCAGCGACCACUCAGC
Long non-coding RNA from Myotis brandtii (Brandt's bat), 1521 nucleotides. RefSeq lists it as uncharacterized. Lineage: Eukaryota; Metazoa; Chordata; Mammalia; Chiroptera; Vespertilionidae. The record is from RefSeq and is a predicted model, not a curated record. The transcript is spliced from 3 exons.